GUCAUUUAGAGGAAGUAAAAGUCGUAACAAGGUCCCCGUAGGUGAGCCUGCGGAGGGAUCAUUACUGAGUUCGGGGGCAAUCCCAGUCCCGACCUCCAACCCUUUGUGAACACAUCUUGUUGCUUCGGGGGCGACCCUGCCGUUCGCGGCAUUCCCCCCGGAGGUCAUCGAAACACUGCAUUAUUACGUCGGAGUAAAAAGUUAAUUUAAUA
RNAcentral lists this unclassified non-coding RNA (212 nucleotides) under uncultured Mycosphaerellaceae. The stretch from base 1 to 64 matches the Rfam family "Eukaryotic small subunit ribosomal RNA", at positions 1768 to 1831 of the family's 1831-position model. Lineage: Eukaryota; Fungi; Ascomycota; Dothideomycetes; Mycosphaerellales; Mycosphaerellaceae. The record is from RNAcentral.